This 497-nucleotide ribosomal RNA is filed under the name uncultured bacterium. RNAcentral's name for it is "partial 16S ribosomal RNA". It matches the Rfam family "Bacterial small subunit ribosomal RNA", at positions 28 to 507 of the family's 1533-position model. The record is from RNAcentral.
GAUGAACGCUGGCGGCGUGCCUAAUGCAUGCAAGUCGAGCGAACAGACGAGGAGCUUGCUCCUCUGACGUUAGCGGCGGACGGGUGAGUAACACGUGGAUAACCUACCUAUAAGACUGGGAUAACUUCGGGAAACCGGAGCUAAUACCGGAUAAUAUAUUGAACCGCAUGGUUCAAUAGUGAAAGACGGUUUUGCUGUCACUUAUAGAUGGAUCCGCGCCGCAUUAGCUAGUUGGUAAGGUAACGGCUUACCAAGGCAACGAUGCGUAGCCGACCUGAGAGGGUGAUCGGCCACACUGGAACUGAGACACGGUCCAGACUCCUACGGGAGGCAGCAGUAGGGAAUCUUCCGCAAUGGGCGAAAGCCUGACGGAGCAACGCCGCGUGAGUGAUAAAGGUCUUCGGAUCGUAAAACUCUGUUAUUAGGGAAGAACAAAUGUGUAAGUAACUAUGCACGUCUUGACGGUACCUAAUCAGAAAGCCACGGCUAACUACGUG